This 443-nucleotide ribosomal RNA is filed under the name uncultured bacterium. RNAcentral describes it as "partial 16S ribosomal RNA". It matches the Rfam family "Bacterial small subunit ribosomal RNA", at positions 338 to 795 of the family's 1533-position model. The record is from RNAcentral.
CCUACGGGAGGCAGCAGUGAGGAAUAUUGGUCAAUGGGCGCGAGCCUGAACCAGCCAAGUAGCGUGAAGGAUGACUGCCCUACGGGUUGUAAACUUCUUUUAUCAGGGACGAAGGAUGUGACGGUACCUGAUGAAUAAGCUCCGGCUAACUACGUGCCAGCAGCCGCGGUAAUACGUAGGAGCAAGCGUUAUCCGGAUUUACUGGGUGUAAAGGGCGCGUAGGCGGGAUGGCAAGUCAGAUGUGAAAUCCAGGGGCUCAACCCCUGAACUGCAUUUGAAACUGUCGUUCUUGAGUACUGGAGAGGUUGACGGAAUUCCUAGUGUAGCGGUGAAAUGCGUAGAUAUUAGGAGGAACACCAGUGGCGAAGGCGGUCAACUGGACAGCAACUGACGCUGAGGCGCGAAAGCGUGGGGGGCAAACAGGAUUAGAUACCCCGGUAGUC